RNAcentral lists this long non-coding RNA (992 nucleotides) under Gallus gallus (chicken). Its description in RNAcentral is "long non-coding RNA NONGGAT004970". The record is from RNAcentral. Lineage: Eukaryota; Metazoa; Chordata; Aves; Galliformes; Phasianidae.
GUGAAGGCCUCCCUGAUCUGGCAAAUGUGACAAUGUGAAGUGCAUAUAUCUGACUCGGAGAAAGGAGUGAAAAGCAGCAGAGAGAUGAGGCGGAUGGCCCAAAGGGUUUCACAGGAGGCAAGUUCCUGAAGGGCCUUCCCUGUGCUUCUCCAUGCUUCCAAGCUGCUGCUCAGAUCAAAGGAAAUGGCUCCAAGGAGGCUGCAGAGGGAGACCACGCAUGCCAGCAGGAUCCUUUGAGCUGUUUUUCUACCACCCGUGUUGGAGAAGGAGGAAUAUCUAAAAGAAAGAAAUGAAAGAAAAAAGGAAAAGAGGGGUGGGAAGAGGCAGAAAAUGGUGGGAAAGAGACAGUUCUUGUGAUGCUGAGAUGGAAUUGUGCCGUUGUCCCGUGAGUAUGAAGAGUGAUACGAUCAUUUGCAGGCUGCUGAACAGGAGAGAGGUUUGCAGCAAUGCUGCCAGCACCAUUCCUGCUGCUAAACCCCAACAACACCCUGGGGUGUCACGGGGUGCCUUCCAUAAAUGCACUUUGCAGUGCUGCCACACUCACCUGUGCUGACCUGCUGGCACCCGUGCUGCCUUCACGCCGGGCAUCUCCGCUGCUGGUCCCAGUGCGUCCCACUCAGAUCCCAUCUGCUGCCUGCCCGCCUCCUGCUAUGCCAGUGCUUUGCUUCCUCGCCCCUCUACCCUCAGAGUUGUUCCCAUGGCUCUCCACUCUUCUGAUCCUCGCUCCCCUCACAGCAGGCUCACAUCCCCCAGGUGAAUAUCAAGCUCCAUCCCGAGGUAGGGGAAAGGCUUUAAAAGGUCCUCAGCAUUAUCAUGAAAUACGUGCUCCUCUCUUGACAGUGCACAAGAAGAAAUGACAGGCACAGUCUUUCAUGUUGCAAAAAACAGUGUUUAUUGCAGUUAAAAGCAUAAUUUCCCAGCUAUCAGUGAUCAAAGGUGUCAUGAUUAUGACUUCAUUCAAACUGUUGUUCUUGGCACUGUUCUCAUCUGUC